GACGAACGCUGGCGGCGUGCUUAACACAUGCAAGUCGAACGCUGAAGCUCAGCUUGCUGGGUGGAUGAGUGGCGAACGGGUGAGUAACACGUGAGUAACCUGCCCUCUUCUUUGGGAUAACGCCCGGAAACGGGUGCUAAUACUGGAUAUUCACUGAUUCUCGCAUGGGGGUUGGUGGAAAGGUUUUUUCUGGUGGGGGAUGGGCUCGCGGCCUAUCAGCUUGUUGGUGGGGUGAUGGCCUACCAAGGCUUUGACGGGUAGCCGGCCUGAGAGGGUGACCGGGCACAUUGGGACUGAGAUACGGCCCAGACUCCUGCGGGAGGCAGCAGUGGGGAAUAUUGCACAAUGGGCGAAAGCCUGAUGCAGCGACGCCGCGUGAGGGAUGGAGGCCUUCGGGUUGUAAACCUCUUUCGCUCAUGGUCAAGCCGCAGCUUUGGGUUGUGGUGAGGGUAGUGGGUAAAGAAGCGCCGGCUAACUACGUG
Molecule: ribosomal RNA, 482 nt
Filed under: uncultured bacterium
Lineage: Bacteria
Description: partial 16S ribosomal RNA
Rfam family: Bacterial small subunit ribosomal RNA
Source: RNAcentral